RNAcentral lists this ribosomal RNA (497 nucleotides) under uncultured bacterium. Its description in RNAcentral is "partial 16S ribosomal RNA". It matches the Rfam family "Bacterial small subunit ribosomal RNA", at positions 28 to 507 of the family's 1533-position model. The record is from RNAcentral.
GAUGAACGCUGGCGGCGUGCCUAAUACAUGCAAGUCGAGCGAACGGACGAGAAGCUUGCUUCUCUGAUGUUAGCGGCGGACGGGUGAGUAACACGUGGAUAACCUACCUAUCAGACUGGGAUAACUUCGGGAAACCGGAGCUAAUACCGGAUGAUAUUUUGAACCGCAUGGUUCAAAAGUGAAAGACGGUCUUGCUGUCACUUAUAGAUGGAUCCGCGCUGCAUUAGCUAGUUGGUAAGGUAACGGCUUACCAAGGCAACGAUGCAUAGCCGACCUGAGAGGGUGAUCGGCCACACUGGAACUGAGACACGGUCCAGACUCCUAAGGGAGGCAGCAGUAGGGAAUCUUCCGCAAUGGGCGAAAGCCUGACGGAGCAACGCCGCGUGAGUGAUGAAGGUCUUCGGAUCGUAAAACUCUGUUAUUAGGGAAGAACAUAUGUGGAAGUAACUGUGCACAUCUUGACGGUACCUAAUCAGAAAGCCACGGCUAACUACGUG